Molecule: ribosomal RNA, 371 nt
Filed under: Dujonia boleticola
Lineage: Eukaryota; Fungi; Ascomycota; Pichiomycetes; Serinales; Debaryomycetaceae
Description: eukaryotic LSU rRNA
Rfam family: Eukaryotic large subunit ribosomal RNA
Source: RNAcentral
ACUACCCGCUGAACUUAAGCAUAUCAAUAAGCGGAGGAAAAGAAACCAACAGGGAUUGCCUUAGUAACGGCGAGUGAAGCGCAAAAGCUCAAAUUUGAAAUCUAGCACUUUCAGUGUUCGAGUUGUAAUUUGAAGAAGGUAACUUUCGAGUUGGCUCUUGUCUAUGUUCCUUGGAACAGGACGUCACAGAGGGUGAGAAUCCCGUGCGAUGAGAUGCCCAAUUCUUAGUAAAGUGCUUUCGAAGAGUCGAGUUGUUUGGGAAUGCAGCUCUAAGUGGGUGGUAAAUUCCAUCUAAAGCUAAAUAUUGGCGAGAGACCGAUAGCGAACAAGUACAGUGAUGGAAAGAUGAAAAGAACUUUGAAAAGAGAGUG